RNAcentral lists this long non-coding RNA (1773 nucleotides) under Lactuca sativa (garden lettuce). RNAcentral's name for it is "long non-coding RNA (LSAT_LNC000271)". Lineage: Eukaryota; Viridiplantae; Streptophyta; Magnoliopsida; Asterales; Asteraceae. The record is from RNAcentral.
GCCUCCUCUACUGUCAUUUUAUACAUAUUAGACUAAAAAAUAUAAAAUUUUCGCGGUGGCGGCCCUGCUCACCAAUUUAUAUACAUAUUACAUUUCUAGCCCCCAAAUCAUAUGUGUUGAGGUUCCGCCCCUGAUACCAAUACGAGCAUCUUUCAUCACAAAAUAACUAUAUCCAAACCAUUAAAAAAGCCAUGAAUUCGUUAUAUUUUGAAAGACACUAUUAAAGAAAACUUCGUUAAUUUUAGCAGUAAAUUAGCAAAAAUACUCAAAUUCGUAAAUAUUUUGAAAAACACAAAAAAUAAAAUAAAUAAUAUGAGAUUUCAUACUUUUGUUGAAAUGACUAAGGUGCAUGUAUUUUAAAGUUUAGAUUGUGAGUUCAAAAUCAAAACGUUUUUUUAAUAAGCUUAAAAGAAAUAAAUAACAUUUAGGUGCUGUUUGUUUUUUCUGAGGCAAAAUGUCUGCAGUCUGCGGACCACAUCUGUAGACAUCUGCAGUAGAAGAGGUGGACCAAACGUCUGCAGUCUGAAAAAAGAAGACUGUUUGUUUUUUUAACAUCUGCGGGCUACUAAAAUAAACUGAAAUUUAAAUAAACUUAUUUUUUUAAACUUUAAAGUGAUUUUUUAAUAUUUUUAUGAUUUUGUUAUAAAUAAUUAACGAAUCUAGAUCAACUUUUAUGUAUUAUUGUAUAAAAAAUAAAAUUAAAAAUGGUAUGAAUUAGCAUAUAUAUUUGAUAAAAACCAACAACUUUGGUUGCAAAAUUAUAAUUAACCAUUAUAAUUAGUGAUCAAAGAAUUUGAUACAUAAAUUGAUGGAAAUAAACUUCGAUUUUUUCAAUUAAAUCCAUUAAAAACGUACCAUAAAUAUUUUCUCGAGAAAUUGACGAUAUUGUAUUAAAUAUAAGAAUAUAUUAUGAUUUUUUUUUCAUAUUUAUAUAAACAAAUUUAACGACUAUUAUUGUAAUAAAUCUUUAUUUAUAAAUUUCUCAAAAAUAUCAUGUUUGUAUGGUCAAAAGUUUUUUUUUUUUUUUUAAGUUUUGUAGUUUUUUUUUUUUCAAAUUGUUAUCAUUAAUAAAGUUGGAAAAAAUAUAAAUUAAAAAAAAAAACUUGAAAAAAAUAAAGAUAUAUAUGUUUUUUUAAGCUAGAAGAUGUCUGAAGAUGUUAGAAGACUUUGGUCCACAUCUGCGCCAAGAAUAGGGCGCGCAGACAUUUUUAGGUCUGCAGUCUUCAGAAAAACAAACGGUCUGCGAAGGCUAAUGUCUGCGCGUGGUCUGCGCGGCGCAGACAGAAGAGGCCUCGCAGAUCUGCAGACAAAAAACAAACACUGCCUUAGUUGCUUUUGUUAUGUUUCGAUCCUACGGUAUAGGCAUUAGAAACCAUGCACCUUAUCGAUUUCAACCACAUCUUCUUGUUUUUUCUAUUAAACAUAUUUAUCGUCCUCAAGUUGUUCGAUUCCGAGUUUUUAAGUUUAGUUGUAAUUUUCUUUAAAUGCGCGUUAUUGUUUACUCAGGAAAAAUAUAUAACCUUGCGAAAUAUUAGCAUAUUUCAGUAUUUGCUAAUCUACGUCUAAAAAUAUAGACAUUUUUUGGUAAUAAAGUGCAGUUUGUGUUUAUUAAAGCAACCUAAUUUGAGGCCCAUACUAAUUCACAGGUUUUUUUAAUGAUUUGGAUUGUCAUUUUGUGAANAUAUAAACAUGUGGGUAUCCACCUGACACCAUCAUUUAUAUGAUAUUUUAGUGAAUAACAUGAAACUAACAUUAAUAUUAUUAGUUAAAAAA